CAUGGCUCAGAGUGAACGCUGGCGGUAGGCCUAACACAUGCAAGUCGAACGGCAGCACAGUAAGAGCUUGCUCUUAUGGGUGGCGAGUGGCGGACGGGUGAGGAAUACAUCGGAAUCUACCUUUUCGUGGGGGAUAACGUAGGGAAACUUACGCUAAUACCGCAUACGACCUUCGGGUGAAAGCAGGGGACCUUCGGGCCUUGCGCGGAUAGAUGAGCCGAUGUCGGAUUAGCUAGUUGGCGGGGUAAAGGCCCACCAAGGCGACGAUCCGUAGCUGGUCUGAGAGGAUGAUCAGCCACACUGGAACUGAGACACGGUCCAGACUCCUACGG
This 332-nucleotide ribosomal RNA is filed under the name uncultured bacterium. RNAcentral's name for it is "bacterial SSU rRNA". It matches the Rfam family "Bacterial small subunit ribosomal RNA", at positions 18 to 344 of the family's 1533-position model. The record is from RNAcentral.